RNAcentral lists this ribosomal RNA (429 nucleotides) under Chloroflexota bacterium. RNAcentral's name for it is "Chloroflexi bacterium partial 16S ribosomal RNA". It matches the Rfam family "Bacterial small subunit ribosomal RNA", at positions 355 to 776 of the family's 1533-position model. RNAcentral also lists the same sequence under 1 other name. Lineage: Bacteria; Bacillati; Chloroflexota. The record is from RNAcentral.
UAGGGAAUCUUCGGCAAUGGACGAAAGUCUGACCGAUCAACGCCGCGUGAGUGAAGAAGGUUUUCGGAUCGUAAAACUCUGUUGUUAGAGAAGAACAAGGACGUUAGUAACUGAACGUCCCCUGACGGUAUCUAACCAGAAAGCCACGGCUAACUACGUGCCAGCAGCCGCGGUAAUACGUAGGUGGCAAGCGUUGUCCGGAUUUAUUGGGCGUAAAGCGAGCGCAGGCGGUUUCUUAAGUCUGAUGUGAAAGCCCCCGGCUCAACCGGGGAGGGUCAUUGGAAACUGGGAGACUUGAGUGCAGAAGAGGAGAGUGGAAUUCCAUGUGUAGCGGUGAAAUGCGUAGAUAUAUGGAGGAACACCAGUGGCGAAGGCGGCUCUCUGGUCUGUAACUGACGCUGAGGCUCGAAAGCGUGGGGAGCAAACAGG